AGUGAACGCUGGCGGCAGGCCUAACACAUGCAAGUCGAACGGCAGCACAGUAAGAGCUUGCUCUUACGGGUGGCGAGUGGCGGACGGGUGAGGAAUACAUCGGAAUCUACUUUUUCGUGGGGGAUAACGUAGGGAAACUUACGCUAAUACCGCAUACGACCUACGGGUGAAAGCAGGGGAUCUUCGGACCUUGCGCGAAUGAAUGAGCCGAUGUCGGAUUAGCUAGUUGGCGGGGUAAAGGCCCACCAAGGCGACGAUCCGUAGCUGGUCUGAGAGGAUGAUCAGCCACACGGGAACUGAGACACGGUCCUGACUCCUACGGGAGGCAGCAGUGGGGAAUAUUGGACAAUGGGCGCGAGCCUGAUCCAGCCAUACCGCGUGGGUGAAGAAGGCCUUCGGGUUGUAAAGCCCUUUUGUUGGGAAAGAAAAGCAGCAGGUUGAUACCCCGCUGUUCUGACGGUACCCAAAGAAUAAGCACCGGCUAACUUCGUG
Molecule: ribosomal RNA, 492 nt
Filed under: uncultured bacterium
Lineage: Bacteria
Description: partial 16S ribosomal RNA
Rfam family: Bacterial small subunit ribosomal RNA
Source: RNAcentral